Molecule: long non-coding RNA, 3979 nt
Filed under: Sus scrofa (pig)
Lineage: Eukaryota; Metazoa; Chordata; Mammalia; Artiodactyla; Suidae
Description: lncRNA (ENSSSCG00065067445.1)
Source: RNAcentral
GGCCACAUCCACGGCGUAUGGAGGCUCCUAGACUAGGGGUGGAAGCAGAGCUACAGCUGGCAGCUUACACCACAGCCACAGACAGCAACGUGGGAUCCAAGCCGAGUCUGCCACCUACACCACAGCCCACAGCAACGCCAGAUCCUUAACCCACUGGGCGAGGCCAGGGAGAGAACCCACAUCCUCAUGGAUCCUAGUCAGGUUUGUUAACCGCUGAGCCACGAAGGGAACUCCCAGAAAUUGUGGUGUUUUAAACCACCUGAUUGGUGGUAAUUGGCUGCCGCAGCGCUGACAAACUCGUAUGCACAUUAGCAGAAAACCUUCUCUUUUGUAUCCAGAUGGGUACCACUUUGCAAAGAUGUGCAUCUCUUGCUGGCUCUCUGUAACACCCCAAGAAACGGAUGGACAAACCGACUCCCCUGCAUUCAGCCCAUCAGCUCUAAAUUUGAGCAAUGCUCCUCCAAUUUCCCUGGUUUUAUACACACUCGUUUAUGUGGGAGUGUAGUUCCGUGCAGUUUUAUCCCAUGAGCAAGUUCGUGUAAUCAGACCAUAAUCAAAACCCAGAAUAGCAAAGCCUCCCUUAUCCCACCCCUUUUUUCCUUAACAAUCACCUCCUCCCUCAACCUCUGGCAACCACUUGUUCCCCAUCUUUCCAAUUUUGUUGUCUAAAUACUGUUCCCUAAAUCAGACAGAAUGUCAUCUUUAUUCGGAAAAAUUCCCUUGCAGUCCACCCAAACAUCAGUAGUUUGGGGGGGUUUUUUGGUUUUGUUUUGUUAUUUCUUUUUUAGGGCCACUUCUUCAGCCUAUGGAAGUUCCCAGGCCAGGGGUCCAAUCGGAGCCACAGCUGCCAGCCUACACCACAGCCACAGCAACAUCAGAUCUGAGCCGUGUCUGUGACGUACAGCACAGCGCAUGGCAAUGCCAGAUCCUUAACCCACUAGGCAAGGCCAGGGAUCAAACCCGCAUCCUCAUGGAUCCUGGUGGAGUUCAUUAACUGCUGAGCCACAAAGGGAACUCCCCAAAUAUCAGCAGGUCAUUCCUUUUUUGGGGCCCAGGACUAUUCCAUGAUCUGCAUGUGCUAUCAUGGUUGAUCUAACCAUUCAGCUGUGGAAGAACCUUUGAGCUGUUUUCAAAAACGUGGUUUGUGGAACAUCAUUCAUUCACUUGCUAACAUUUGUUGUGCACCUACUAUGGGCAGUGAUUGUGAUAAGUCUCUGGAAUGCAAAGCAAAAUAGAACAGGGUCCCCACACUUGAGGCGCUCAUGGGCUAGUGGGAGUCGGGGGGAGGGUGCUUCAAUGACAGCCUGACACCUGCCUGUGAUCAUUAAAUACUCAGGAACAUGGAACAAGAACCUUGUGAAAGCACUGACAGAAAAGCCUUAGGGUGCACAGGGUUGGGCUGGGGCAUCAGUGAGUUGGAUCUUGAAGGAUGGGUAAGAGUUUGUCGGGAGAAGACCAAGAAUCCUUCAGCAGGGGAGCAGGACUGGCCAAGACGUGUGCCGUGAGGGUUUGUUCUUAUCUCCCUCCCUCAACAGAGAGGAUUACUCACCUUCCUACGGGCGGAAAUGUGCCUCUGACAACCAGGAUUAUCUGUUUUACUGGAUAUGAUUCAACAGAAAAGAAUGCUGUGCUCAUUAAAAAUUCUGACGACAUUAUGACUCCGGGGCCCAUUAUCUCAAAAUUUACUCCAUGUACCCGAAAGGUUUUAACCCUCGAUAUAAGCCUAACAGUUCUGCUUUCUAUCACCCCCAUCUCCCUUUUAUCAGGCAAAUUGGCCUUACAUUUCCCUCCACUAGCCUCCCCCCAUGUGACUUCCGCCCUGGGUGUAAUAAGCAAUUUCCCCUCAUGGCUGAGACUGGACACAGCCCAGGAUCUCAAGUUUGAGUGUCCUGUCGAGGAGUUCCCUUCGUGGCUCAGUGGUUCAUGAAGCCGACUAGGAUCCAUGAGGAUGCAGUCAGACUUAUUUCCGCUGAGCCAUGACAGGAACUCCUGCUUCUCUACAUUUUCAGUAUCCUCUUGGAAAUGCAAAUAUCUAGGAAAGAGUAGAAUCUCUGGGGAAUGUCCUAAAAUAGAAGCGUCAGCUGAGUUCAGGAGAAAGGUUUGAUUUUCAAACACCAGAUUGUUCUAGAAGAGGUGAGCCUGAACAGACUACCUCUGUGAGGGUAUCCUACAUGUCGUGGGCCAGAACAAGAGGAGGUAUCGGAGGAAGCGGUGGGUAAGAACCACAUGUCAAAUGUACCUUUGUCCCAACUUUUAAUUGUUUCAUAAUAAAAUCUGUAGCUAUUUUAAAAAGUAGACUGAAUGUACCCUUUGGACAAGGAACCAAAGUUAUUUGUAUAUGAGAGACAAAUGCAGCCAUUAUCAAAUAGAAUUUUAAAUAUUUAAGUACAUGGAAAACUAUUCAUCAGUAGGAAAAACAGCUAGAAAACCAUAUGCAGAACAAUCAUAAUCCGAAGGAAGGAAGAUGCGAGGGAAAAGAAAACCCAUCACAGUGUCACUGGUCCAUCCACAAGGUGUGUGUCUCGCCCUGUCGUUUUUCAAAAUCUCUACCACAAAUGUGCUCCAGUAUUAAGAGAACUAGCAAAAUACAUUUACAUGGGGCCGGGCGGGGUGGGAGGGAGACUUUCUCUGAUGUUAAUCCUUAUGCCAUCUGCAUGAACCUCGGAGAUAAGCCAUCACAGCCCCUGCUAUGGUGACCCCUUCACAUAGUUCAGGUGGGUUUUGCCCCUCAUUGCUGAGUUCCUGCUCCUGGCUCCACCCCUCACGUGCCCUAGGUCUCAGCUGCGAGAUGGGGUCACACAGCAAAUCCACAGUCUUUGCAGGUAUACGCAUGGCAGUCAAGACGAGAAGGGAUUUUAAGACCCACGGUGUCAAAUGACUUGAUGAAAUACUCCAAGGGGGAUGAGGAAGGUGAACCGAACGUUCCCAGAGCCCUCAGAACACAAGUUCCAAAUAUGAGUUUCUUUUUACUUGAAUCUGUUAUUUUUCUCAGCAGGAGAUGAAUCAGAGAAAAGGGGACUCUCUCAAUCAGAUGAAAAAAAAAAUUUGGAGAUCUGAUGAAAUACAUAGCAUUGCAACUUUUUUUUAACAAUUUUUUAAAAUCUAAUAGAAAGUGUUAGGGUACCUACUAUUUUUUUAAUUGAAGUACAGUUAACUUGCUAUGUUGUGUUAGUUUCAAGGGUACAACAAACUGAUUCAGCUGUACAUAUACAUGUAUCUUUCUAGAUUCUUUUCCAUCAUAAGUUAUUGCAAGAUACUGACUUCCCCGUACUCUACAGUAAAUCCUUGUUGCUCUGUUUUAGGUAGAGUAGUGUGUACCUAUUAAUCUCAUGUUCCUAAUUCAGCCCUCCCAUCCCUUCCCUGUUGGUAACCAUGAGUUUGUUUUUUAUGUCUUGAGAAUCUUUCUGUUUUGUAAAUAAGUUCAUUUGUAUCUUUUUUUAUUUUUUAGAUUCUACAUGUAAGUGAUACUCUAUAUUUGUCCACAGAUAAAAAUGACAUGUAAGGUAGUAGUUGAUGCACACAUUGAGGGAAGGAGCUAAAAUUGUUUUCAGUGGUUUUAAUUAUUUUUAAUUACUUCUCUCUAUAUAUGGAUAUAUAUACACACAGGACACCUAUAUACACACAUAUAUAGGGGCACAUAUACACACUACUCACAAAUAUAUAGAGAGACACACAUAUAUACACAUCUAUAUAUGCAUAUACAUAGUACAGAUAUACAUAAAUACAUAUAUUUACAUAUAUGUGCCUACAUAUGUAUACAUAUAUACAUGCAUAUGAACUUGCCAUAUCCACAUUACCAAUCUUCCGUCUACUUUUUCUUUCUUUAUGACCAGACCAAGAACACCAGCGUCUGUCUGUCUAGCAGGCGCCUUCAGACCCGGAAACACAGCCCUCCCUGCUCCAUCUAUGCUAAAGGCACAGAGCUCCCGCCCACUGCUCUCCAGGGGGGCCAACCCAGCACUGCCAUCACCUACAUUCC